Molecule: non-coding RNA, 119 nt
Organism: Picea glauca (white spruce)
Lineage: Eukaryota; Viridiplantae; Streptophyta; Pinopsida; Pinales; Pinaceae
Source: Rfam
AGCUACGAUCAUACUAGCGUUAAUGCAUCGGAUCCCAUCACAACUCCGCAGUUAAGCACGCUUGGGCUAGAUUAGUACUGGGAUGGGUGACCUCCUGGGAAGUCCUAGUGUUCCAUCCU